Small nuclear RNA from Gorilla gorilla gorilla (western lowland gorilla), 107 nucleotides. The record is from Ensembl. Lineage: Eukaryota; Metazoa; Chordata; Mammalia; Primates; Hominidae.
GUGCUUGCUUUGGCAGCACAUAUACUAAAGUUGGAAUGAUGCAGAGAAGAUUAGCAUGGCCCCUGUGCAAGGAUAACUCACAAAUUCAGGAGGCCUUCCAUAUUUUU